CAGCCGCCACGGUAAAACGUAGGUGGCAAGCGUUGUCCGGAAUUAUUGGGCGUAAAGGGCUCGCAGGCGGUUUCUUAAGUCUGAUGUGAAAGCCCCCGGCUCAACCGGGGAGGGUCAUUGGAAACUGGGAAACUUGAGUGCAGAAGAGGAGAGUGGAAUUCCACGUGUAGCGGUGAAAUGCGUAGAGAUGUGGAGGAACACCAGUGGCGAAGGCGACUCUCUGGUCUGUAACUGACGCUGAGGAGCGAAAGCGUGGGGAGCGAACAGGAUUAGAUACCCGGGUAGUCCCUGUCUCUUAUAC
This 301-nucleotide ribosomal RNA is filed under the name uncultured bacterium. RNAcentral's name for it is "partial 16S ribosomal RNA". It matches the Rfam family "Bacterial small subunit ribosomal RNA", at positions 509 to 807 of the family's 1533-position model. The record is from RNAcentral.